This 443-nucleotide ribosomal RNA is filed under the name uncultured bacterium. RNAcentral describes it as "partial 16S ribosomal RNA". It matches the Rfam family "Bacterial small subunit ribosomal RNA", at positions 338 to 795 of the family's 1533-position model. The record is from RNAcentral.
CCUACGGGAGGCAGCAGUGGGGAAUAUUGGGCAAUGGGCGCAAGCCUGACCCAGCAACGCCGCGUGAAGGAAGAAGGCUUUCGGGUUGUAAACUUCUUUUCUCAGGGACGAAGAAAGUGACGGUACCUGAGGAAUAAGCCACGGCUAACUACGUGCCAGCAGCCGCGGUAAUACGUAGGUGGCAAGCGUUAUCCGGAUUUACUGGGUGUAAAGGGCGUGUAGGCGGGAAAGCAAGUCAGAUGUGAAAACCAUGGGCUCAACCUGUGGCCUGCAUUUGAAACUGUUUUUCUUGAGUACUGGAGAGGCAGACGGAAUUCGUAGUGUAGCGGUGAAAUGCGGAGAUAUUAGGAGGAACACCAGUGGCGAAGGCGGUCUGCUGGACAGCAACUGACGCUGAGGCGCGAAAGCGUGGGGAGCAAACAGGAUUAGAUACCCGAGUAGUC